AUACGUAGGGGGUUAGCGUUGUCCGGAUUUACUGGGUGUAAAGGGCGCGUAGGCGGGCCUGUAAGUCAGAGGUGAAAUACCACAGCUUAACUGUAGAGCUGCCUCUGAUACUGGGGGGCUUGAGUGCAGAAGAGGGAGAUGGAAUUCCAGGUGUAGUGGUGAAAUACGUAGAUAUCUGGAAGAACACCAGUGGCGAAGGCGACUUCCUGGUCUGACACUGACGCUGAGGCGCGAAAGCGUGGGUAGCAAACAGGAUUAGAUACCCUGGUAGUCCACGAUGUAAACGAUGAAUACUAGAUGUUGGGCAGAAAUGUUCAGUGUCGCAGCUAACGCAUUAAGUAUUCCACCUGGGGAGUACGAUCGCAAGGUUGA
RNAcentral lists this ribosomal RNA (372 nucleotides) under uncultured bacterium. RNAcentral's name for it is "bacterial SSU rRNA". It matches the Rfam family "Bacterial small subunit ribosomal RNA", at positions 523 to 897 of the family's 1533-position model. The record is from RNAcentral.